AGAGUUUGAUCAUGGCUCAGGACGAACGCUGGCGGCGUGCUUAACACAUGCAAGUCGAACGGUCGUAGCGAUACGAUAGUGGCGGACGGGUGAGUAACACGUGAGUAAUCUGCCUUUUACAGGGGGAUAACACUGAGAAAUCAGUGCUAAUACCGCAUAAGACUACGUUGUCGCAUGGCAAAGUAGUAAAAGGGAUACCGGUAAAAGAUGAGCUCGCGUCCCAUUAGGUAGUUGGUGUCGGUAACGGCGCACCAAGCCAACGAUGGGUAGCCGACCUGAGAGGGUGAUCGGCCACACUGGAACUGAGAUACGGUCCAGACUCCUACGGGAGGCAGCAGUGGGGAAUAUUGGGCAAUGGAGGCAACUCUGACCCAGCAACGCCGCGUGAAUGAAGAAGGUCUUCGGAUUGUAAAGUUCUGUGGAUAGGGAAGAAAAAAAUGACGGUACCUAUACAGCAAGCCACGGCAAACUACGUGCCAGCAGCCGCGGUAAUACGUAGGUGGCAAGCGUUGUCCGGAAUGACUGGGUGUAAAGGGUGCGUAGGCGGCUAUGCAAGUUAGAAGUGUAAUCCCCGGGCUUAACCUGGGAGCUACUUCUAAAACUGUGUAGCUUGAGUGUGGGAGAGGUAAGUGGAAUUCCUAGUGUAGCGGUGGAAUGCGUAGAUAUUAGGAGGAACACCAGAGGCGAAGGCGACUUACUGGACCAUAACUGACGCUGAGGCACGAAAGCGUGGGGAGCAAACAGGAUUAGAUACCCUGGUAGUCCACGCCCUAAACGAUGGAUACUAGGUGUAGGGGGUAUCGACUCCCCCUGUGCCGUCGUUAACGCAAUAAGUAUCCCACCUGGGGAGUACGGCCGCAAGGCUAAAACUCAAAGGAAUUGACGGGGACCCGCACAAGCAGCGGAGCAUGUGGUUUAAUUCGAAGCAACGCGAAGAACCUUACCAAGGCUUGACAUCGCCUGCAUAGUAUAGAGAUAUAUGAAGUUAUAGCAAUAUAACAGGCAGACAGGUGGUGCAUGGUUGUCGUCAGCUCGUGUCGUGAGAUGUUGGGUUAAGUCCCGCAACGAGCGCAACCCUUAUGAACAGUUGCCAAUAUUAAGUUAGGAACUCUGUUCAGACUGCCGUGGAUAACACGGAGGAAGGUGAGGAUGACGUCAAAUCAUCACGCCCCUUACGUCUUGGGCUACACACGUGCUACAAUGGCUGUUACAAAGAGCAGCAAUAUAGUAAUAUGGAGUGAAUCUCAGAAAAACAAUCUCAGUUCAGAUUGUGGGCUGCAACUCGCCCACAUGAAGCAGGAGUUGCUACUAAUCGCAAAUCAGAAUGUUGCGGUGAAUGCGUUCCCGGGUCUUGUACACACCGCCCGUCACGCCAUGGGAGUUGGGAGUGCCCGAAGUCAGUGACCUAACCCGCAAGGGGAGGAGCUGCCGAAGGUAAGACCAAUGACUGGGGUGAAGUCGUAACAAGGUAACCGUA
RNAcentral lists this ribosomal RNA (1477 nucleotides) under uncultured Eubacteriales bacterium. Its description in RNAcentral is "bacterial SSU rRNA". It matches the Rfam family "Bacterial small subunit ribosomal RNA". Lineage: Bacteria; Bacillati; Bacillota; Clostridia; Eubacteriales. RNAcentral also lists the same sequence under 1 other name. The record is from RNAcentral.